CCUACGAGGUGCAGCAGUGGGGAAUAUUGCACAAUGGGGGCAACCCUGAUGCAGCGACGCCGCGUGAGGGAAGAAGUACUUCGUUAUGUAAAGCUCUAUCAGCAGGGAAGAAAAUGACGGUACCUGAGUAAGAAGCCCCGGCUAACUACGUGCCAGCAGCCGCGGUAAUACGCAGGGGGCCAGCGUUAUCCGGAUUUACGGGGCGGAAAGGGAGCGUAGACGGCAGUGCAAGUCUGGAGUGAAAGGCGGGGGCUCAACCCCCGGACUGCUCUGGAAACUGUACGGCUGGAGUGCAGGAGAGGUAAGUGGAAUGCCUAGUGUAGCGGUGAAAUGCGUAGAUAUUAGGAGGAACACCAGUGGCGAAGGCGGCUUACUGGACUGUAACUGACGUUGAGGCUCGAAAGCGUGGGGAGCAAACAGGAUUAGAUACCCUGGUAGUC
Molecule: ribosomal RNA, 440 nt
Filed under: uncultured bacterium
Lineage: Bacteria
Description: partial 16S ribosomal RNA
Rfam family: Bacterial small subunit ribosomal RNA
Source: RNAcentral